Molecule: ribosomal RNA, 472 nt
Filed under: uncultured bacterium
Lineage: Bacteria
Description: bacterial SSU rRNA
Rfam family: Bacterial small subunit ribosomal RNA
Source: RNAcentral
GACGAACGCUGGCGGCGUGCUUAACACAUGCAAGUCGAACGAGAAGGCGCAGCAAUACGCUUGUACAGUGGCGAACGGGUGAGGAAUACAUGGGUGACCUACCCUCGAGUGGGGGAUAACCCGCCGAAAGGCGGGCUAAUACCGCGUACGCUUCCGAUCUCGCGGGAUUGGAAGGAAAGCUGUCCCUUGGGGAUGGCGCUCAAGGACGGGCUCAUGUCCUAUCAGCUUGNGGUAGGGUAACGGCCUACCAAGGCAUCGACGGGUAGCUGGUCUGAGAGGACGAUCAGCCACACUGGCACUGCGACACGGGCCAGACUCCUACGGGAGGCAGCAGUGAGGAAUAUUGCGCAAUGGGCGAAAGCCUGACGCAGCGACGCCGCGUGGGGGAGUGAAGGUCUUCGGAUUGUAAACCCCUUUCGGGAGGGAAGACGGCCUUAGACAACUAAGGCGGACGGUACCUCCAGAAGCAGCC